CGGAACGGGUGAGUAAUACAUCGAACGUGCCCGAUCGUGGGGGAGUAACGGAGCGAAAGCUUUGCUAAUACCGCAUACGAUCUACGGAUGAAAGCAGGGGACCGCAAGGCCUUGCGCGGACGGAGCGGCCGAUGGCAGAUUAGGUAGUUGGUGGGAUAAAAGCUUACCAAGCCGACGAUCUGUAGCUGGUCUGAGAGGACGACCAGCCACACUGGGACUGAGACACGGCCCAG
This 233-nucleotide ribosomal RNA is filed under the name uncultured bacterium. RNAcentral's name for it is "partial 16S ribosomal RNA". It matches the Rfam family "Bacterial small subunit ribosomal RNA", at positions 100 to 334 of the family's 1533-position model. The record is from RNAcentral.